Molecule: non-coding RNA, 26 nt
Filed under: Cricetulus griseus (Chinese hamster)
Lineage: Eukaryota; Metazoa; Chordata; Mammalia; Rodentia; Cricetidae
Source: RNAcentral
UUAUAAGGACAGAGCUGUAGGGAGCC